Molecule: ribosomal RNA, 570 nt
Filed under: uncultured bacterium
Lineage: Bacteria
Description: partial 16S ribosomal RNA
Rfam family: Bacterial small subunit ribosomal RNA
Source: RNAcentral
UGGGGAAUUUUGGACAAUGGGCGAAAGCCUGAUCCAGCAAUGCCGCGUGUGUGAAGAAGGCCUUCGGGUUGUAAAGCACUUUUGUCCGGAAAGAAAUCCUUGGCUCUAAUACAGUCGGGGGAUGACGGUACCGGAAGAAUAAGCACCGGCUAACUACGUGCCAGCAGCCGCGGUAAUACGUAGGGUGCAAGCGUUAAUCGGAAUUACUGGGCGUAAAGCGUGCGCAGGCGGUUUGCUAAGACCGAUGUGAAAUCCCCGGGCUCAACCUGGGAACUGCAUUGGUGACUGGCAGGCUAGAGUAUGGCAGAGGGGGGUAGAAUUCCACGUGUAGCAGUGAAAUGCGUAGAGAUGUGGAGGAAUACCGAUGGCGAAGGUAGCCCCCUGGGCCAAUACUGACGCUCAUGCACGAAAGCGUGGGGAGCAAACAGGAUUAGAUACCCUGGUAGUCCACGCCCUAAAACGAUGUCAACUAGUUGUUGGGGAUUCAUUUCCUUAGUAACGUAGCUAACGCGUGAAGUUGACCGCCUGGGGAGUACGGUCGCAAGAUUAAAACUUAAAUGAAUUGACGGG